CUGGGCUGCACGCAGCCCCAGUAUGGUGUACCAGCAAAAGCCAGUGUGCUGUACCGGGGAGGCCCAGCUUCCCCAGGGAGCAAUUUAAAAGACCUGGGGCUCCCAGCAGGGGCUGGAGCCCCAGGCCCUUUAAAUUGCCACCAGAUCACCACUGCUGGAGCUCUAGGGUAGAGUUGUGGGGCUCUGGGGGCUAUUU
Molecule: non-coding RNA, 196 nt
Organism: Chelonoidis abingdonii (Abingdon island giant tortoise)
Lineage: Eukaryota; Metazoa; Chordata; Testudines; Testudinidae
Source: RefSeq, a predicted model, not a curated record